CACAGGAGAGAUAGAGGUAAAGAGAGAGCGAGGAAGGAAAAAGAGGAAGGGAUGAGAUGGCCCCUUCCACACUUCUCCCCUCCUGACUGUGUUGUGAAACUCUACACUGGGAGCGUAUUGCCUAUGCAUUCCUUCAGUUCCUAGAAAGCUUCAGAACCCUAGUCUGCAGCGUGGACUCCUCCAAGCAGCAACCCUAAGGUACCAGGGCCAGAGGCUAGAGGCAGGACCAAGGCCAGAGGCUUGAGCAAGGCCCAGGGAAGGACUUCUCCAAGCAGCAAUCCUGAGGUACCAGGGCCAGAGGCUAGAGCCAGGACCAGAGGUUAGAGCCAGGACCAGAGUUUAGAGCCAGGACCAGGGCAGGACUCCUCCAAGCAGCAACCCUGACGUACCAGGGCCAGAGGCUAGAGCCAGUGCCAGAGGCUAGAGCCAGGACCAGAGGCUAGAGCCAGGACCAGGGCAGGACUCCUCCAAGCAGCAACCCUGACAUACCAGGGCCAGAAGCUAGAGCCAGUGCCAGAGGUUUGAGCCAGGACCAGGGCAGGACUCCUCCAAGCAGCAACCCUGACAUACCAGGGCCAGAGGCUUGAGCCAGGACCAGGACUCAGGAGUAAGUAGGCCAAAGGUACUGGAAGCCAAGAACUGAGCUAAAGUUCAACCCUGGAGUUGUAACUUAUGGUUUGAGCCAACCCUUCCCAGGAAACCCGGGGUUUGAAUUCCUCAUCAAAGUGUGCGUGUGCGCUUCCGCCCAGAAUGUACAGUUGAAAAAGAGCUGGCCGUCAAUUUUUUAGUUACUGUGUCUGUGUGUGUUACUCGCACAUCGCACUCUUAGAAUUAAGGGGAACCCUGGAGACUUCGAGGAACCCUGGAGUUCCUCAGGGAACCAUUGGUAGUCAAUGGGUUCAUAUUUGCACCUUUUGUUAGUUGAGGGGUACUGGGAAGAACCUUUCAUCCUUCAAUGUAGCAAAGGCAUCCUGGAGAAAAGUGUAUAUAUUGUAGCUAUAUCUUCUAGAGGUGGCAGCUGAUCAGAAGAUUUGUGGCUUAUUUGGGGCGUGGCUUUCAAAAAGUUAUUUUUGACCACCCAUGAGAGUAAUUGUCAUUGCGGUUCAUGUGUUCAGUUGCAGAGUCAAUAAUAGAGCCUGACUGAUAAAUCGGUUGACCAAUAUAAAAAGAUGUAAUCAAA
Molecule: non-coding RNA, 1180 nt
Organism: Salmo salar (Atlantic salmon)
Lineage: Eukaryota; Metazoa; Chordata; Actinopteri; Salmoniformes; Salmonidae
Source: RefSeq, a predicted model, not a curated record